This 71-nucleotide transfer RNA is filed under the name Ictidomys tridecemlineatus (thirteen-lined ground squirrel). RNAcentral's name for it is "Spermophilus tridecemlineatus (thirteen-lined ground squirrel) tRNA". It matches the Rfam family "tRNA". Rfam says of the family: Transfer RNA (tRNA) molecules are approximately 80 nucleotides in length. Their secondary structure includes four short double-helical elements and three loops (D, anti-codon, and T loops). Further hydrogen bonds mediate the characteristic L-shaped molecular structure. tRNAs have two regions of fundamental functional importance: the anti-codon, which is responsible for specific mRNA codon recognition, and the 3' end, to which the tRNAs corresponding amino acid is attached (by aminoacyl-tRNA synthetases). tRNAs cope with the degeneracy of the genetic code in two manners: having more than one tRNA (with a specific anti-codon) for a particular amino acid; and 'wobble' base-pairing, i.e. permitting non-standard base-pairing at the 3rd anti-codon position. Lineage: Eukaryota; Metazoa; Chordata; Mammalia; Rodentia; Sciuridae. The record is from Rfam by way of RNAcentral.
UGGGUUGUAGCUCAGGGGUAGAGCACUCGCCUCACAUGUGUGAAGUGUGGGUUUGAUCCUCAACACCACAG